CCUACGGGUGGCAGCAGUGAGGAAUAUUGGUCAAUGGGCGAGAGCCUGAACCAGCCAAGUCGCGUGAAGGAUGACGGCCCUACGGGUUGUAAACUUCUUUUGUCAGGGAGCAAUUGAGUCCACGUGUGGGCUUAGCGAGAGUACCUGACGAAAAAGCAUCGGCUAACUCCGUGCCAGCAGCCGCGGUAAUACGGAGGAUGCGAGCGUUAUCCGAAUUUAUUGGGUUAAAAGGGUGCGUAGGCGGAAUAUCAAGUCAGCGGUAAAAAUUCGGGGCUCAACCCCGUCGUGCCGUUGAAACUGAUGUUCUUGAGUGGGCGAGAAGUAUGCGGAAUGCGUGGUGUAGCAGUGAAAUGCAUAGAUAUCACGAAGAACUCCGAUUGCGAAGGCAGCAAACCGGCGCCCAACUGACGCUGAAGAACGAAAGCGUGGGUAGCGAACAGGAUUAGAUACCCCAGUAGUC
RNAcentral lists this ribosomal RNA (460 nucleotides) under uncultured bacterium. Its description in RNAcentral is "partial 16S ribosomal RNA". It matches the Rfam family "Bacterial small subunit ribosomal RNA", at positions 338 to 795 of the family's 1533-position model. The record is from RNAcentral.